This 429-nucleotide ribosomal RNA is filed under the name Bacteroidota bacterium. RNAcentral's name for it is "Bacteroidetes bacterium partial 16S ribosomal RNA". It matches the Rfam family "Bacterial small subunit ribosomal RNA", at positions 355 to 776 of the family's 1533-position model. Lineage: Bacteria; Pseudomonadati; Bacteroidota. The record is from RNAcentral.
UAGGGAAUCUUCGGCAAUGGGGGGAACCCUGACCGAGCAACGCCGCGUGAGUGAAGAAGGUUUUCGGAUCGUAAAGCUCUGUUGUUAAGGAAGAACGAGUGUGAGAAUGGAAAGUUCAUGCUGUGACGGUACUUAACCAGAAAGGGACGGCUAACUACGUGCCAGCAGCCGCGGUAAUACGUAGGUCCCGAGCGUUGUCCGGAUUUAUUGGGCGUAAAGCGAGCGCAGGCGGUUAGAAAAGUCUGAAGUGAAAGGCAGUGGCUCAACCAUUGUAGGCUUUGGAAACUGUUUAACUUGAGUGCAGAAGGGGGGAGUGGAAUUCCAUGUGUAGCGGUGAAAUGCGCAGAGAUAUGGAGGAACACCAGUGGCGAAGGCGACUUUCUGGUCUGUAACUGACGCUGAUGUGCGAAAGCGUGGGGAUCAAACAGG